CAAAACCAAAUUUGCAUUCCUCAAACCUUCUCUUUUACUGUUUUAUUUUGCCAUGUUUUGUUAGUUGUUUGUUUGUUUGCUUAUGUGUGCGUUUAUGUUUUAAACAUUGAGGGCAAUGUUUGGUUUAAGUGUGGGGGGGGGGGGGGGUAAACAAGCUGUUUUUGCAUGAUUUUAGUGGGAUUUUAUCACCUAUCACUUCUAAUGUUGUUACUCACUGUUUUUAAGUGUUUUUAGUGUGUUUUGGUUUGUUUUAAUGUGUUUUGAAGUAAAAAUCUGAAUAUUUGAAAAAAAUCUGGAAAAAGUGUUUUGAUAAACCCAAAAAAGAGUCAUUUUUGUGUGUUUGUUUGUGUCUUAGGGUACCUUCCAACACAAUGAUGAGGAUUUGGUUUUUAAGUGCAUGACUGUUAAAGAAAGUUACAAGCAUGGAUGGAAGUUUGAUAUGCUCUUUGGUUUAUGCUUGGUUGCAAUUAUAGUUUACGAAUUCACAUGUAAUCACAAAAGGAAAAAAAUCAGUUUUUGUAACAUGCUUGAAGGAAGGAACUCAAACUAACGCUACAUCCCUGAGAGACUUGAGCCUAAACGUUUAUUUAGAGAGUUAUUAAUUUGUGCAUUCUUGUUUUGUAAAGUCGUUGCAUGAUCUCAUUAUUCUUUGCUUGGUUGCUACUUAGAAUGCGUUUCAUCAUUAUAGGUCCAAAUACUAGAACUCAUGCCGUUCCAUUCAAAGCAUGACAUUGAUUUGCAUAACACAUAUUCAAGAUGAAGUUGUUUAGUGAACAAAAGCCAAAAUAGCCGAACCCACCUUUCUCAUUUGUUUUGUAGGUUUAAACCCCGUUGAGCCUUGUUUAGCCUAUUUUCUUUGUUAACCACAUUAUCCUUACCUAGCCUAGAAUAGGACUUUCCAUACUCUUGUUCUUAAAGAAUAGUGAAGCAUGACUUAGCGUGAAUUCCUUUUGAUCAACAUAUGCAGAAAAGUAAGUGUGGGGGAAGAAUGUUUCAAAGUGUGUGUUUUGUGUGCCAAAGACAAGGGCACGGCAAUAAAAAAAAAUGUGUGAAAAGAAUGAAAAACAGUUGAAAAUAAGUGAGAAUGAACUCACAUGUAUUGGUUGUUGAAGAAAGGGUUCAAAAGUUUGAAUUUGACCCUAAGUGUUGCAUGAAUCUUCCCUUGUGUUUAAAAGUUGAUUUUUACAUUCAAAAGUGAAUUCUAAGUAUCAAUUUCAUUACUUUACUUACUAUUUCUUUAAGAACCUUAGUUUUUCCUUACCUUUCUUUGUUAGCCAACACCCUUAACCCCGUUACAACCCUUGACUUCCAUCUUGAGUGUUGUGUGUUUCAAUAUGUGGAGUUUGGAAUUGGAAUGAGCAUAUGAUAUCACUGGUUCUAGCAUCUAAGUAGUGGCAUUCCAUUCAUGAGAUCAUAUAUAUAUACAUGCAUUAAUAAUUCAAAAAAAGUGCUUUCUUUGCUAUAACAUAUGUGAGUACUAGUCUUCAUGUUUACAUCAAUCUUCUCACAUAUACCUAGUGUAGGGAGUGUAGUCAGAAAUUCUUGUAUGAAAAUAAGAGUGUACUUAGUGAGGAAUUGAGUGAACUCUUUAAGGCAUGUUACUACAUUCAAAACAUUGUUUUAAUUAAAUGCGAGCAGUGGAUGGUAACUAUGAUUAAGUAUGUGCUCGGGGGUAGGGAUGGCCAAAGUCUGUGUAAGUAAUGAUUUUUAGCAUGUCAUGUUCAUUGGAAAUCCCUGAGGUAAUUGUUGGAAGGUCUAGAUUGUGUUUUGUUUCUUUUGUUUGUUUCGUUUUGCUCAAGGACUAGCAAAAGCUAACUGUGGGGGAAUUUGAUAGGAGCAUAUUUAGGCGACUUAGUUAGCUUGUUUUCUUGCAUUUAUGUUGUUAGUUAUUAGUUAUUUUAGUAGUUUAAGCUAUUUUUGUGUGUUUGUAGGUCCAAAGGGCUAAGGAGUCAAGAAAGUGCAUUUUAGAGCAUUUUGGAGCAGUUUUGGGCUUGGAAUGGAUAUCACAUGCUUGGAGCAAUGGAGAUGGACAAAAUUGAAGACCUAAAGAUACUAGGAUUCCUAAUUGAAAAUGGAUUCCUAGAAGAAUGAAGAUUCCUACUUACACAAGGAUUCCUACAAGAAGAAGGAAUGUUAAGCCAAGGUUUCCUACUUUGGUUUUAACCUUUCCUAAUCCUAAAAGUCCCUAAGUUCCAGCAACAAAGAAGACUUCUGAUCAUAUUAAGACACUAAAUAAGAACUUCUAGAAGUCCUAAACCCCUUGCCGCACCUUCCUUGUCCCUUUCUCUUCCUUGUCGUGCAAGGGAGAGCCUUUCUUUCCUAUUUCCUGCACCAAAUCACAUUCCCUUUUUAAUUAAAAGCCUUGCCACAUAUCUCCUUACUCUUUCCUUUGAUUUCUGAUUUUUUUUCCUUUUUCUAGUAGUUUUACUUUAUUUCUGUUAACCUAAAUAAGUUAGGGUUUUGAUUUCCUAAAACCUUAAAUAUUUCCUUUUACCGCACAAAAAUACAUUAUUCUUCCCAUCCAUUCUCCAAUACACACAUCCAGCCACACCCAUACACUCUCAUCACCCAUCACUCAUCCACCACCACAAUUCACCACAAAAUUAUCAACCAUACCUUGUGCCGUAGCAAAGAAGAAGAAGGAGGGCCCUUGGACGUGCUUGCCAUUCAAGUUAGAGUUGCUGGAACUUUUUUAGGUGUAAUCUUUCUUUGUUUUCAAUGUUUAAGUUUAAUAAUCUUUGUUUUGCAAGUAUGAGGAACUAAACCCCUCUUAGCUAGGGGGAAUUUCGAAACCAUGACUAUACUUGCAAUAUGAUUUGAUUACAUCCAGUUGUAAUUUCAUAAAUUGUGAAUUCAAUUUACUUAUCUGUUUGAAUUAAAACUUGUUUGUGUAUGUGGGUUAAGAGUGCACUCUUAAUUUGCAUGCAUAAAUCUGAUGCUAGGAUAUAAGGGAGUUUCACCUAAUCGUUAUGAACUUAUAUUCAUAAGUGGUGGAGGUUACUAGUCACAAUCGUGUUAAGUAAAUUCAUGGCAUAAGUAUCACGCGCUUUCAUAGUUACGAAUGCCUUGUCAAUACUUACGAUUUUCAUAGAACUUAAUGAUCUUUGAUUGUAUCUCUAUUAUGCGCUUUCAUGUAGGGAACUUUUGAAGAAUAAUUUAAUUGCGAUGCGCUAUUUCCGUCCAAUUCAAUGACAUAAGGAAAAUCUGAGGCUUAAUUUAAGCGUACCUAAUUAAUCUGGGGUUUGAGAUUUAUGGUUUAUUGAAAGAAACAACUGGAAAUUGAUUUCUUUGCAAGUGUGUCAUGUGUGGAGAAGAACCCUCUAGCUAGCCCAUCAUCCAUCCAUUACCCAAUUUCAUCCAAACUUUGUUUUAGUUUACAAUCUGUUUGUUUUACUUUCAAAUUCGUCAAAACCAAAUCCCCCUUUACUUUGAGUCAUAUUAGUUAGAAACUAUUUUAGUUUGUGUUUUUAAGUGUUUUGAGUCAAGGUAAAACCAAUUUUCGUCCAAAUUCACUCUUAGUGUCUAUUUUGAGUCAUAUAGCUUGUUUUGUGCUGUUUUGAGUCAUUGAGUUGUUUUAGUGUAUUAGAGUCUAGUUUUGCAUUCUUUGAGUCUAGUUUAGUGUUCCAAACUUAGUUUUACGUUUUCAAGUCAGUUUCAAGUGUUUUAGCAAUCCCUCCCAAUCCCCGGCCUAGAAC
RNAcentral lists this long non-coding RNA (3695 nucleotides) under Malus domestica (apple). RNAcentral's name for it is "long non-coding RNA (MDOM_LNC001948)". Lineage: Eukaryota; Viridiplantae; Streptophyta; Magnoliopsida; Rosales; Rosaceae. The record is from RNAcentral.